UGUUUGGCUGCUGCAAGAGACCUGAUAGGCCU
This 32-nucleotide non-coding RNA is filed under the name Homo sapiens (human). Lineage: Eukaryota; Metazoa; Chordata; Mammalia; Primates; Hominidae. The record is from RNAcentral.